GAUGAACGCUGGCGGCGUGCCUAAUACAUGCAAGUCGAGCGAACAGACGAGGAGCUUGCUCCUCUGACGUUAGCGGCGGACGGGUGAGUAACACGUGGAUAACCUACCUAUAAGACUGGGAUAACUUCGGGAAACCGGAGCUAAUACCGGAUAAUAUAUUGAACCGCAUGGUUCAAUAGUGAAAGACGGUUUUGCUGUCACUUAUAGAUGGAUCCGCGCCGCAUUAGCUAGUUGGUAAGGUAACGGCUUACCAAGGCGACGAUGCGUAGCCGACCUGAGAGGAUGAUCGGCCACACUGGAACAGAGACACGGUCCAGACUCCUACGGGAGGCAGCAGUAGGGAAUCUUCCGCAAUGGGCGAAAGCCUGACGGAGCAACGCCGCGUGAGUGAUGAAGGUCUUCGGAUCGUAAAACUCUGUUAUUAGGGAAGAACAAAUGUGUAAGUAACUAUGCACGUCUUGACGGUACCUAAUCAGAAAGCCACGGCUAACUACGUG
RNAcentral lists this ribosomal RNA (497 nucleotides) under uncultured bacterium. RNAcentral describes it as "partial 16S ribosomal RNA". It matches the Rfam family "Bacterial small subunit ribosomal RNA", at positions 28 to 507 of the family's 1533-position model. The record is from RNAcentral.